This 253-nucleotide ribosomal RNA is filed under the name uncultured bacterium. RNAcentral's name for it is "partial 16S ribosomal RNA". It matches the Rfam family "Bacterial small subunit ribosomal RNA", at positions 524 to 776 of the family's 1533-position model. The record is from RNAcentral.
UACGUAGGGUGCAAGCGUUGUCCGGAAUGAUUGGGCGUAAAGAGCUCGUAGGCGGUCUGUCGCGUCUGCUGUGAAAACUCAGGGCUUAACCCUGAGCUUGCAGUGGGUACGGGCAGACUAGAGUGCGGUAGGGGAGACUGGAAUUCCUGGUGUAGCGGUGAAAUGCGCAGAUAUCAGGAGGAACACCGGUGGCGAAGGCGGGUCUCUGGGCCGUAACUGACGCUGAGGAGCGAAAGCAUGGGGAGCGAACAGG